This 266-nucleotide ribosomal RNA is filed under the name uncultured bacterium. Its description in RNAcentral is "partial 16S ribosomal RNA". It matches the Rfam family "Bacterial small subunit ribosomal RNA", at positions 793 to 1055 of the family's 1533-position model. The record is from RNAcentral.
GUCCACGCCCUAAACGAUGUCAACUGGUUGUUGGACGGCUUGCUGUUCAGUAACGAAGCUAACGCGUGAAGUUGACCGCCUGGGGAGUACGGCCGCAAGGUUGAAACUCAAAGGAAAUUGACGGGGACCCGGCACAAGCGGUGGAUGAUGUGGUUUAAUUCGAUGCAACGCGAAAACCUUAACCUACCCUUGACAUGUCAGGAAUCCUGUAGAGAUAUGGGAGUGCUCGAAAGAGAAUCUGAACACAGGUGCUGCAUGGCCGUAGU